CUGGGAGUGCAGUCCCUCUGCUUUGAUUGCUGUGUCCCUUUGGUAGUGAUUUUGGAGGGGAAUCCCAGAGCCAUUUGGUUUGAAGGGGACCUUCAAAGGCCAGCCUGUCUUCCGUGGGCAGGGACACCUUCCACUGUCCCCGGUUGCUCCGAGUCCCGUCCAGCCUGGCCUGGAACACGUGCAGGGAUGGGGCAGGCUCAGCUUCCCUGUGCAGUGUGCUCUAAUAUCUCUCCACUGGCAUCCUGAAAAAUGUUGUCAGCGUGUUUUGUUGGCCGACGGUAAGCAGGACCUGGGUGAAAAGGACAUUCUCUGAGGUGCUGGGAGAAGGAGGACUCGUGCGGGCACCUCCAGAGACAGCGGGAACGGGAGCGUGCUGCGGAGAAGGAAAAUUCCAGGGGAAUUGCCACGAGAGGAAAUACUUCAGAGGGGCUUCCCUCCAGCUAAGCCCUGAAUAUGCCAGGAGGUUUCAGCCGGGAGGAAAGGAGCUGUGGAAGAAAAGCAGCCUAAAAAUAGCCAGCGGGGAUCAUCAGGUUUUCCAGCCAAGAAGAACAAGGAGAGAGAUGAGGGAAUCGGGUUCCAAUUCCUAAUGAUUUGGUGGGUGCAGGAAUGAUUUCUGUGUGUUUUCCAGUCCCUUUUGAUUCCUGAGAUGAUUUUAAAAUGAUGGCUUUAGCAAUCAACUAAAUCGGAGAUGUUGUUUUUGAGAGGAAAUGAUGCCAAAUAAAUGCAGAGUUUUGGGUCAGUUUUUGG
Long non-coding RNA from Pseudopipra pipra, 747 nucleotides. RefSeq lists it as uncharacterized. The transcript has 2 exons. Lineage: Eukaryota; Metazoa; Chordata; Aves; Passeriformes; Pipridae. The record is from RefSeq and is a predicted model, not a curated record.